RNAcentral lists this long non-coding RNA (727 nucleotides) under Capra hircus (goat). RNAcentral's name for it is "lncRNA (ENSCHIG00010021540.1)". Lineage: Eukaryota; Metazoa; Chordata; Mammalia; Artiodactyla; Bovidae. The record is from RNAcentral.
CUUCAGUCCCGCGCCCACGCUGCUCACGCGAGGGUUCAGAAUCCACAAUGGCCGCGCUUCUGUAGCCGUUAUUUCCACAGCUGAAGCGGCGCCUUUUCCUAAACAGGUGCACUUCUGCCCCUCUGAACUCUGCAGUCUUCUAGACUAGCUCUAGUUUGUCCAGUGUGUGCCUCCCCAGUGGUCCUCUCCUGUUUAGCAGAUGGUUGGGCCUCUGGUUGUCGGUGCUGAGGGGUGGCCUCUUCCUUGGACAAGUUAGAGAUGAGUCGUUUGCCCGCUGGCCCAUGGGUGCUGAGCGAAUAGCCCUUAAAUAGUUUAAUGUUUGGGGGAGAGGGGCCCUCUGACUUGUCCUAGGGCCCUGGUAGGGGAUAAGGCCCCAAAGUAGGAAACAGCCAGAGGGAAGAAGUACUUUCUUGCUGGGAGAGCAGCUUGCGCUGGACUUGAGGGAGCUGGGCUGGGACGCGAGGAGAAAAGGCUCUGAGCAUUCCGGCAGCGAGAGUCCAAAUGGCUGGAGUGGAGAGAACAGACUAGAAGACCAGUGAAGAAGAUUGUCUGAGCUGAGCCUUGAAGGAUGGGCAGGAUUAACUAGUAAGGAUGGAAGGAGGGCCAUUUCAGGCAAGAGGAGUGGCAAAACCUCUGGUGUAAAAAUCAGAAGGUACUUGCAGUGUCAAGGGACCAGUGACAUGAUCUGGCAGAAGGGAAUCCAAGGAAGGUCAUAAGGUUGGAAAGC